RNAcentral lists this ribosomal RNA (314 nucleotides) under uncultured bacterium. RNAcentral's name for it is "bacterial SSU rRNA". It matches the Rfam family "Bacterial small subunit ribosomal RNA", at positions 481 to 793 of the family's 1533-position model. The record is from RNAcentral.
GCAGAAGAAGCACCGGCUAACUCCGUGCCAGCAGCCGCGGUAAUACGGAGGGUGCGAGCGUUAAUCGGAAUUACUGGGCGUAAAAGCGCAUGCAGGUGGUUGUUAAGUCAGAUGUGAAAGCCGGGGCUCAACCUCGGAAUUGCAUUUGAAACUGGCAAACUAGAGUACUGUAGAGGGGGUAGGAAUUUCAGGUGUAGCGGUGAAAUGCGUAGAGAUCUGAAGGAAUACCGGUGGCGAAGGCGGCCCCCUGGACCAGAUAACUGACACUCAGAUGCGAAAGCGUGGGGAGCAAACAGGAUUAGAUACCCUGGUAG